This is a long non-coding RNA of Eucalyptus grandis, 449 nucleotides long. RefSeq lists it as uncharacterized. The record is from RefSeq and is a predicted model, not a curated record. NCBI's taxonomy places the organism in Eukaryota, Viridiplantae, Streptophyta, Magnoliopsida, Myrtales, Myrtaceae. The transcript is spliced from 2 exons.
AGCUCACCUCCGGCCACCGUGAGGCCCCGCCGUUGGCCGCCCGAGCUACCGCCCUCUCCCUCGCCGUUCCUCCGCCCGAUUAGGCUCGGAUCAGCCCUCCUCCGCCCAUGAUCGAAGCUGCAGGAAAUGGGUAUGUAGCGGGCGUUUGGCCCGUUUUUGCCGUCUUCCCGAGCCCGGAUGCUCGGCCCGCUUUGAGGAAAGUUGUUCUCCUCGGCGUCCCCGUCGUUUUGGUCCGCUCGGCUCGCUAAUCCGGUCCCUGGUGGACGGAGCGACCAGAUAGCUUUGGUUGGCUUUGAGGAGUUGCAGACGUGAAGUAAUAAGAUUGGAGAACGUGUCCGACUUGUAGGUCAUAGGACAAUUCCUUUUUAAGAGCCGGUCUUAUGUAAACUGUUGGCCAUAGACUUCUGUUUGUAAUUCUGUUGAAUUAUGAAAGUGUUAUGUUGUGGUUU